This 83-nucleotide transfer RNA is filed under the name Ceratobasidium sp. 428. Its description in RNAcentral is "tRNA-Gln". It matches the Rfam family "tRNA". From Rfam's summary of the family: Transfer RNA (tRNA) molecules are approximately 80 nucleotides in length. Their secondary structure includes four short double-helical elements and three loops (D, anti-codon, and T loops). Further hydrogen bonds mediate the characteristic L-shaped molecular structure. tRNAs have two regions of fundamental functional importance: the anti-codon, which is responsible for specific mRNA codon recognition, and the 3' end, to which the tRNAs corresponding amino acid is attached (by aminoacyl-tRNA synthetases). tRNAs cope with the degeneracy of the genetic code in two manners: having more than one tRNA (with a specific anti-codon) for a particular amino acid; and 'wobble' base-pairing, i.e. permitting non-standard base-pairing at the 3rd anti-codon position. Lineage: Eukaryota; Fungi; Basidiomycota; Agaricomycetes; Cantharellales; Ceratobasidiaceae. The record is from RNAcentral.
GGCUGUAUAGUGUAGUGGUUUAGCACUCGGGAUUUUGACGACAAAAUCUUCCCGCAACCUGGGUUCGAGCCCCAGUACGGCCU